Molecule: long non-coding RNA, 1304 nt
Organism: Ornithorhynchus anatinus (platypus)
Lineage: Eukaryota; Metazoa; Chordata; Mammalia; Monotremata; Ornithorhynchidae
Exons: 2
Source: RefSeq, a predicted model, not a curated record
ACCAUUAGGCCAUGCUGCUUCUCAAGUGGGAGAAAAGGAGGUGGAGAAAAGGAGGUGGAAGCAUUUAUCCCACAGCAGCCCAGGUUCCAAGCCGGGACCUGGGGCUCAGCCCUCAGAUCUGGAAGCUGAGCUGCAGAAAGCUCUGGCACUAAUUAAGCCCCGUCAGUGAUCACAGUGAGUUUCCAUAUGAGGAUGCAUAAAAAUACACUGCAACCAAGGGAGACUGGAACACCGCUUGAAAAUAUUUUCCGGGGAAAAAGGAUACUAGAUUGCUGAACUAGCUCCAUGCAAGGAAAGGUUGUUUUUCCAAAUAUGUCGGCUCCCACAUUCAUCAAGAGGCUUAUCGGCCGGUGCAUUUUGUAGGAUCUGAAUCCACGCUGACAAAGUUUUAGCCUCCUAGAAAAACAUGCAGACUGAAAAGGAAGAGCUUCUGCAAUGGAAGCCAUUCUAGGUUGACUGCUGCUAACAUUAUGAUACAUGUCGCCUUGUCAUAGUUAAGCCCUGAGUUCUGAUGGGAAUGUUUCAGAGAACUUCAAUCAGUCAAUCAAUGGUAUUUAUUGAGGGCCAUCUUGCUGAGGAGCACUUAUUUAAAUGGUAAAUUGGGAAUUGUUCCAGUGAUACUAUCCUCUCCAGAACCGGGAACCCCUUGUGGGCAAGGAUGCCUUUAAAUCCAUUUUUAUUCUAUGUACAUCCUUCUGUGCCUACUUCAGUAUCGUACACAUUAUAGCCACUCUCUAAAUAUCGGUUUUAAUAGUCAAAGAAAAAUAACCUGGACAUUUCCUCCAGCACUGCCUAGAUUCAUUCAACCAUGUGAUUAGAAGGCAGCGUAACCAAUUUAAAAAUCUUAAGCCCCUGACAGCCCGUAACUUUCCCUGGUAUCUAGUUUUUUUCAAUUUCACUGAUCUGGCUGUCAAAAACAUUUUCACUACUUAACCUAAGCCUCUUUUACUGCCGGAUGAACCUACAGACCUUUGGGUUUCCACUGUGUUUACAGAAGAAAGACUCGUUAGCCUUCCAGUAGAAGAAAACCCUGGCUCUCGAAAGAUAGGGUGUGUGACUCUGGGAAAGCCUGUAGUGAUUGAACUUUCCCAUUCCUGGUCCUUAAAAGAAUGAUGGAAAGAUAAAUUUGAAAGGGCGGUUGACCUAAUCAUUAACAAACCAAAAAAUUCACUGCAGAGACAGAGUGUUUUGUUCGCUCAGACUAGCUCUAAUGUUGCUAUCCUUUCCUCUCACUGAACUUCAGGUUGAAAUUUACAGCAGAGUCAAUUCAUUCUUCCAAAAUAAAACCAAUAGUAAGCAAUUGA